This 497-nucleotide ribosomal RNA is filed under the name uncultured bacterium. RNAcentral's name for it is "partial 16S ribosomal RNA". It matches the Rfam family "Bacterial small subunit ribosomal RNA", at positions 28 to 507 of the family's 1533-position model. The record is from RNAcentral.
GAUGAACGCUGGCGGCGUGCCUAAUACAUGCAAGUCGAGCGAACGGACGAGAAGCUUGCUUUUCUGAUGUUAGCGGCGGACGGGUGAGUAACACGUGGAUAACCUACCUAUAAGACUGAGAUAACUUCGGGAAACCGGAGCUAAAACCGGAUAAUAUUUUGAACCGCAUGGUUCAAAAGUGAAAGACGGUCUUGCUGUCACUUAUAGAUGGAUCCGCGCUGCAUUAGCUAGUUGGUAAGGUAACGGCUUACCAAGGCAACGAUGCAUAGCCGACCUGAGAGGGUGAUCGGCCACACUGGAACUGAGACACGGUCCAGACUCCUACGGGAGGCAGCAGUAGGGAAUCUUCCGCAAUGGGCGAAAGCCUGACGGAGCAACGCCGCGUGAGUGAUGAAGGUCUUCGGAUCGUAAAACUCUGUUAUUAGGGAAGAACAUAUGUGUAAGUAACUGUGCACAUCUUGACGGUACCUAAUCAGAAAGCCACGGCUAACUACGUG